UUGGAGAAAAACAAUUUAUAAAAAAAAGUUAGACCCGGAAAAAAAAACUUCGCAGAUCUCUUCUCCUCUCUAUCGUUGAUGUCUGAUCUACUCUUCCACCUCUCCGCCGCUAUGGCUGAACCGCGCUCCCCCACCCUCAUACUCCUCGUCCACCUCCUCUGUCUCUCUUUUAUUCGACCCAGCUCACCCAAACCCUACAUCACUUUCAAUCGAAUCUACAUGCUUCUCUUGCAUAUAAGACUAGAAUUGAAAAUUCAUUCUCUUCGUGAUUUCAACAAGUCUAAAUGAAUUCAAUGUGGCAACGUCUCUCGUUUUGUGUAGCCUCUUUCUCUCUUGCGCUGGUGAAUUAUAUUCGUGAGGUUUUAAUCUGAUAAGGGGUUAAUUUAGGGUUUAUAAGUUUCGGGUUUGAAUUUGGAGUUGUUUAAUCUUUCUUUUUUUGAAUUUUGCUGGAUUUGUGAAUUUCUUUAUGGGGUUUGGAUUAUGUUUGAACUAUUAUUCUGCUUAUAUUUCAUUUUGUAUUUUGUUUAAUCGCUCACAAAUUUAGCUUAUAGAUGACUUAAUUAUAUGUUAGUUAGCAUAUCUUUUGAUUUUGUUUCUCCGUCUCGGGUGAAUUAGGAAUAGAGACAUCAAUUAGGAAUAGGUUUAUUUUUGUCAUUCUGUUUUAAGAUUUUGUGUUUUGCUAUUUUUGAGAGGUUGACUUUUGGUUUGUUUGUCUUCUCGAUUUCCUAUCCCUUUUAUCUCGAUCUCCAAUCUCAUAUUGAAAUUGUUAUCAAAUUAUGUGUUUCGGAUGAGAUGAAUUCCAAAGCGCUUUUUUGAUUCUUAGAAUUUGAGCAGACAAUAACUGAUAAUCUGAAUUCAUUGGAUGUUGGAACAAAACAUUCAUAAUUGGUCUUUGUUGCAAAUAGUGUAUUCGAUUUUAACGAGAAAAAGUAAAUUAAACAUUCAUUUUUGGUCUUUGUUAAACUUUUCUUAAAUUGGCAAGUAAGAAAAAUUUGCAGGUCUGCUAAAGCUUUGUAGUUUAGCUGUGCUUGUUUGUUUUUAGCUGCUAAAGUUGAAGAGAUAUCCGUUUCUCUCUCAGGAACCACGGGAAGAGUCUAAGCCUCUCUCACAUGCGUUAAGAGAAGACAGAACAUCCUAGGUGCGUUUAUGAGCAGUUCCACUGUCCUAAAAGCUGGAAUCAAUCACAAAGUUAUUAAUUUUAUAGUCUCUUAUUUGUAACUUUAUAAUCAAACUGGUGUGUCGUUUCCUCUUCUAAACACACUAGUUUGAAUUUCAUUCAACCUAUGAAUUUUGUGAAUGAUGUAACCUAAACACAAUAACGAUAUUGCUCCCCCAUGUAAGUGUUUUCUACAACUCUCUAUUCUUUCCAUGUAUAUAUAUUUUUGUUGUUGUUUCCUCAUCUGUGUUGUUUAACUGUGUUCUUACAAAUGUUUUUGGGUCUAGGAAGUUGGUACUUUUGGGACUGUAAGUCAUCCUUAAGUAUUGUGGUGAGACUGAGUUUCUCGAUAAACUGGAGAUGGUGAGUAUUGGCUGCAAGAAAGGUCAAGUUCAGUUUAUUUCAGUUUUCAGUGGAUGAUAUUCACAGGCAAUUCAAGUGCUCAUGGUAGAGUUGGUGCCACCGCUGCCGACUGCUGCUUCAAUCCUUGAGUACUUGACUGCAGAGGUUCUUGAGUUAGCUGGAAACGCUAGCAAAGAUCUGAAAGUGAAGAGUAUAACUCCAUGGCAUUUGCAGUUGGCCAUCAGAGGAAUGUGGGAAUGAAAAGAAUGAUAAGUUUAGGACAUGAUUUUGUGUUUUAUUUAUGACUUGGUUUGAUGGUUACAUGUUCUCUUCUAGAGUUCAUGUUUGUAAUGUGUUCACUUUGUAUGAUUUUCUUUAAUGGAAAAGAAUUUGUAAUUUAUGAUUU
Molecule: non-coding RNA, 1904 nt
Organism: Camelina sativa (false flax)
Lineage: Eukaryota; Viridiplantae; Streptophyta; Magnoliopsida; Brassicales; Brassicaceae
Source: RefSeq, a predicted model, not a curated record